CUACGGGGGGCACCAGGCGCGAAACCUUUACAAUGCACGAAAGUGUGAUAAGGUAAUCCCAAGUGCUUAUGCUUUGCAUAGGCUUUUUUCAAGAGUAAACUUCUUGGAGAAUAAGUGGUGGGAAAGACCGGUGCCAGCAGCCGCGGUAAUACCGGCGCCACAAGUGGUGACCAUUUUUAUUUGGCCUAAAGCGUCCGUAGCCUGUUUGAAAACUCUCUUGUGAAAUUGUUGAGCUCAACUUAACAACGUGCAGGAGAAACUGUCAAACUCGAGACCGGGAGAAGUCAGGAGUAUGUUAGGGGGAGCGGUAAGAUGCUAUAAUCCCUGAUAGACUACCAGUGGCGAAGGCACCUGACUAGUACGGUUCUGACGGUGAGGGACGAAAGCUAGGGGAUCGAUCCGGAUUAGAUACCCGCGUAGUC
RNAcentral lists this ribosomal RNA (422 nucleotides) under uncultured archaeon. RNAcentral describes it as "partial 16S ribosomal RNA". It matches the Rfam family "Archaeal small subunit ribosomal RNA", at positions 323 to 746 of the family's 1478-position model. The record is from RNAcentral.